AACGAACGCUGGCGGCAUGCCUAACACAUGCAAGUCGAACGAGACCUUCGGGUCUAGUGGCGCACGGGUGCGUAACGCGUGGGAAUCUACUCUUGGGUUCGGAAUAACUCAGAGAAAUUUGAGCUAAUACCGGAUGAUGUCGCAAGACCAAAGAUUUAUCGCCCAAGGAUGAGCCCGCGUAGGAUUAGCUUGUUGGUGAGGUAAAAAGCUCACCAAGGCGACGAUCCUUAGCUGGUCUGAGAGGAUGAUCAGCCACACUGGGACUGAGACACGGCCCAGACUCCUACGGAGGGCAGCAGUGGGGAAUAUUGGACAAUGGGCGGAAAGACCUGAUCCAGCAAUGCCGCGUGAGUG
RNAcentral lists this ribosomal RNA (354 nucleotides) under uncultured bacterium. RNAcentral's name for it is "bacterial SSU rRNA". It matches the Rfam family "Bacterial small subunit ribosomal RNA", at positions 29 to 407 of the family's 1533-position model. The record is from RNAcentral.